AGUGAACGCUGGCGGUAGGCCUAACACAUGCAAGUCGAACGGCAGCACAGUAAGAGCUUGCUCUUAUGGGUGGCGAGUGGCGGACGGGUGAGGAAUACAUCGGAAUCUACUUUUUCGUGGGGGAUAACGUAGGGAAACUUACGCUAAUACCGCAUACGACCUACGGGUGAAAGCAGGGGAUCUUCGGACCUUGCGCGAUUGAAUGAGCCGAUGUCGGAUUAGCGAGUUGGCGGGGUAAAGGCCCACCAAGGCGACGAUCCGUAGCUGGUCUGAGAGGAUGAUCAGCCACACUGGAACUGAGACACGGUCCAGACUCCUACGGGAGGCAGCAGUGGGGAAUAUUGGACAAUGGGCGCAAGCCUGAUCCAGCCAUACCGCGUGGGUGAAGAAGGCCUUCGGGUUGUAAAGCCCUUUUGUUGGGAAAGAAAAGCAGCAGGUUAAUACCCCGCUGUUCUGACGGUACCCAAAGAAUAAGCACCGGCUAACUUCGUG
RNAcentral lists this ribosomal RNA (492 nucleotides) under uncultured bacterium. RNAcentral describes it as "partial 16S ribosomal RNA". It matches the Rfam family "Bacterial small subunit ribosomal RNA", at positions 29 to 507 of the family's 1533-position model. The record is from RNAcentral.